This 453-nucleotide ribosomal RNA is filed under the name uncultured bacterium. RNAcentral's name for it is "bacterial SSU rRNA". It matches the Rfam family "Bacterial small subunit ribosomal RNA", at positions 340 to 784 of the family's 1533-position model. The record is from RNAcentral.
UACGGGAGGCAGCAGUGGGGAAUAUUGCACAAUGGGCGCAAGCCUGAUGCAGCCAUGCCGCGUGUAUGAAAAAGGCCUUCGGGUUGUAAAGUACUUUCAGUCGUGAGGAAGGUGUUAAGGUUAAUAACCUUAGCAAUUGACGUUAGCGACAGAAGAAGCACCGGCUAACUCCGUGCCAGCAGCCGCGGUAAUACGGAGGGUGCGAGCGUUAAUCGGAAUUACUGGGCGUAAAGGGCACGCAGGCGGUUAAUUAAGUUGGAUGUGAAAUCCCCGGGCUUAACCUGGGAAUGGCAUUCAAGACUGGUUAGCUAGAGUCUUGUAGAGGGGGGUAGAAUUCCAUGUGUAGCGGUGAAAUGCGUAGAGAUGUGGAGGAAUACCGGUGGCGAAGGCGGCCCCUGGGACAAAGACUGACGCUCAUGUGCGAAAGCGUGGGGAGCAAACAGGGAUUAGAUA